Molecule: transfer RNA, 75 nt
Filed under: Candidatus Harrisonbacteria bacterium CG10_big_fil_rev_8_21_14_0_10_40_38
Lineage: Bacteria; Candidatus Harrisoniibacteriota
Description: tRNA-Tyr
Rfam family: tRNA
About the family: Transfer RNA (tRNA) molecules are approximately 80 nucleotides in length. Their secondary structure includes four short double-helical elements and three loops (D, anti-codon, and T loops).
Source: RNAcentral
GCUGGCUUAGCUCAAUGGUAGCGCAUUGGGAUAUAACCCCCAUGUGUGGAGGUUCAAGUCCUCCAGUCAGCUCCA